AGUGAGCGCUGGCGGUAGGCCUAACACAUGCAAGUCGAACGGCAGCACAGGAGAGCUUGCUCUCUGGGUGGCGAGUGGCGGACGGGUGAGGAAUACAUCGGAAUCUACUCUGUCGUGGGGGAUAACGUAGGGAAACUUACGCUAAUACCGCAUACGACCUACGGGUGAAAGCAGGGGACCUUCGGGCCUUGCGCGAUUGAAUGAGCCGAUGUCGGAUUAGCUAGUUGGCGGGGUAAAGGCCCACCAAGGCGACGAUCCGUAGCUGGUCUGAGAGGAUGAUCAGCCACACUGGAACUGACACACGGUCCAGACUCCCACGGGAGGCAGCAGUGGGGCAUAUUGGACAAUGGGCGCAAGCCUGAUCCAGCCAUACCGCGUGGGUGAAGAAGGCCUUCGGGUUGUAAAGCCCGUUUGUUGGGAAAGAAAUCCAGCGGGCUAAUACCCGGUUGGGAUGACGGUACCCAAAGAAUAAGCACCGGCUAACUUCGUGCCAGCCGCCGCGGUAA
RNAcentral lists this ribosomal RNA (506 nucleotides) under uncultured bacterium. RNAcentral's name for it is "partial 16S ribosomal RNA". It matches the Rfam family "Bacterial small subunit ribosomal RNA", at positions 29 to 523 of the family's 1533-position model. The record is from RNAcentral.